AAUUUAUGCAAGAGAAGCAAGGGAGCGGGGAGGUAGCUUCAGUUUCUUUGUUUUUGUUAAUUUAGGGCAAUGGCUUUAGUAGAAUAAAUAAUGGCGAGAAGAAUUGUCAAGUGUAUAGCAUUAGUACUUGAGGAGAUUCAUUGAUAAUAAAGAGAACAUGGAGGAGAAAGAAACCAAGUUGUUGCACAGCUUUGUUGCAUAAUAUUUAUUCAUUUGUAUCUCAGAAACAU
This 230-nucleotide unclassified non-coding RNA is filed under the name Hevea brasiliensis (rubber tree). The record is from RNAcentral. Lineage: Eukaryota; Viridiplantae; Streptophyta; Magnoliopsida; Malpighiales; Euphorbiaceae.